GAGGCGGAAACCGAAAAGCCUUUUAAUAGAGUAGGUA
Algibacter sp. is the source of this 37-nucleotide regulatory RNA element. It matches the Rfam family "DUF805b RNA". Rfam says of the family: Bacteroidetes, Chlorobi (1 example), Proteobacteria. Lineage (Flavobacteria) The record is from Rfam. NCBI's taxonomy places the organism in Bacteria, Pseudomonadati, Bacteroidota, Flavobacteriia, Flavobacteriales, Flavobacteriaceae.